This 263-nucleotide ribosomal RNA is filed under the name uncultured bacterium. RNAcentral describes it as "partial 16S ribosomal RNA". It matches the Rfam family "Bacterial small subunit ribosomal RNA", at positions 793 to 1055 of the family's 1533-position model. The record is from RNAcentral.
GUCCACGCUGUAAACGUUGAUCACUGGCUAUCGGCAGUGUCGACCCUGUCGGUGGCGAAGCUAACGCGUUAAGUGAUCCGCCUGGGAAGUACGGCCGCAAGGCUAAACUCAAAGGAAUAGACGGGGACUCACACAAGCGGUGGACCAUGUGGCUUAAUUCGACAACAACGAAGAACCUUACCAGGGCUUGAAAUUUCGUUGAAAUUCCGCAGAAACGCGGAACCCCCCACAAGGCAACGGAACAGGUGCUGCAUGGUUGUCGU